GAUGAACGCUAGCGGCAGGCUUAAUACAUGCAAGUCGAGGGGCAGCGGGGGUAGCAAUACCUGCCGGCGACCGGCAAACGGGUGCGGAACACGUACAGAACCUUCCUUUAAGUGGGGGAUAGCCCGGAGAAAUCCGGAUUAAUACCCCGUAAUAUUAUUGAGUGGCAUCAUUUGAUAAUUAUAGAUUUAUCGCUUAGAGAUGGCUGUGCGGCUGAUUAGGUAGUUGGUGCGGGUAACGGCCCACCAAGCCAGCGAUCAGUAACUGGUGUGAGAGCACGACCAGUCACACGGGCACUGAGACACGGGCCCGACUCCUACGGGAGGCAGCAGUAAGGAAUAUUGGUCAAUGGACGCAAGUCUGAACCAGCCAUGCCGCGUGAAGGAUGAAGGCCCUCU
Molecule: ribosomal RNA, 396 nt
Filed under: uncultured bacterium
Lineage: Bacteria
Description: bacterial SSU rRNA
Rfam family: Bacterial small subunit ribosomal RNA
Source: RNAcentral